AGCAGUCGGCCUUGAUGGGUCAGGUGGUCACCUGACAUGGCUCUAGGAAGCAUUUCCUAUGUUUCCUUCCUUUAUAGGAUGGAGAGGCAUUACCUGAUUCUGAUUUCCUUCUGUAUUUCCUCACAAGCUAAGAUUUGUCAAUUUUGUUUUGGAAGAUGUUGGAUGUGUCUAUUACAUGCGAUGGUGACAGGAUGCAUUGUUCGUGAUGGCAAAGACUGGAAUCUAAAUGUAUGUUGUUACUGGGACUAUUUGAACACAAUACAUCCAUGUGACAGAAUUCUCUGCAGCUGUUAAAAGGAAUAACGUAAUUCUAUAAGAAGGAACAACAGUGCAAUUGGCAUCCUACCAUUCAUGUAAUAUGAAAGAAGAGAAUGUAUGGAUUUUCUUUGAAAAGGAAAGAGACUGAUAACAGUGGAGAUGGAGAUCAGGAAGGGAGAGAACUUUUCACU
Molecule: long non-coding RNA, 449 nt
Organism: Leptonychotes weddellii (Weddell seal)
Lineage: Eukaryota; Metazoa; Chordata; Mammalia; Carnivora; Phocidae
Source: RefSeq, a predicted model, not a curated record